UCUGACGGAGCACGCCGCGUGAGUGAUGAAGGUUUUCGGAUCGUAAAGCUCUGUUGUUAGGGAAGAACAAGUACCGUUCGAAUAGGGCGGUACCUUGACGGUACCUAACCAGAAAGCCACGGCUAACUACGUGCCAGCAGCCGCGGUAAUACGUAGGUGGCAAGCGUUGUCCGGAAUUAUUGGGCGUAAAGGGCUCGCAGGCGGUUUCUUAAGUCUGAUGUGAAAGCCCCCGGCUCAACCGGGGAGGGUCAUUGGAAACUGGGGAACUUGAGUGCAGAAGAGGAGAGUGGAAUUCCACGUGUAGCGGUGAAAUGCGUAGAGAUGUGGAGGAACACCAGUGGCGAAGGCGACUCUCUGGUCUGUAACUGACGCUGAGGAGCGAAAGCGUGGGGAGCGAACAGGAUUAGAUACCCUGGUAGUCCACGCCGUAAACGAUGAGUGCUAAGUGUUAGGGGGUUUCCGCCCCUUAGUGCUGCAGCUAACGCAUUAAGCACUCCGCCUGGGGAGUACGGUCGCAAGACUGAAACUCAAAGGAAUUGACGGGGGCCCGCACAAGCGGUGGAGCAUGUGGUUUAAUUCGAAGCAACGCGAAGAACCUUACCAGGUCUUGACAUCCUCUGACAAUCCUAGAGAUAGGACGUCCCCUUCGGGGGCAGAGUGACAGGUGGUGCAUGGUUGUCGUCAGCUCGUGUCGUGAGAUGUUGGGUUAAGUCCCGCAACGAGCGCAACCCUUGAUCUUAGUUGCCAGCAUUCAGUUGGGCACUCUAAGGUGACUGCCGGUGACAAACCGGAGGAAGGUGGGGAUGACGUCAAAUCAUCAUGCCCCUUAUGACCUGGGCUACACACGUGCUACAAUGGACAGAACAAAGGGCAGCGAAACCGCGAGGUUAAGCCAAUCCCACAAAUCUGUUCUCAGUUCGGAUCGCAGUCUGCAACUC
RNAcentral lists this ribosomal RNA (938 nucleotides) under Bacillus sp. (in: firmicutes). RNAcentral describes it as "bacterial SSU rRNA". It matches the Rfam family "Bacterial small subunit ribosomal RNA", at positions 382 to 1313 of the family's 1533-position model. Lineage: Bacteria; Bacillati; Bacillota; Bacilli; Caryophanales; Bacillaceae. The record is from RNAcentral.